This 1251-nucleotide ribosomal RNA is filed under the name Triticum aestivum (bread wheat). RNAcentral describes it as "partial small subunit ribosomal RNA". Lineage: Eukaryota; Viridiplantae; Streptophyta; Magnoliopsida; Poales; Poaceae. The record is from RNAcentral.
AUGCUUGGGAGCCUCAGCUUCCUGGACCUGGGCUCCAACCGGCUGUCCGGUGCUCUCCCCACAGAGUUAUCAGGAUGCCGGAACCUCACGUUCGUCGACCUCCACGACAAUGCCAUCGCCGGCGUGCUGCCGUCAGGGCUCUUCAAGGAAUUGCUCUCGCUCCAGUACCUUGACCUCUCCUACAAUGCCAUCUCUGGCGCGCUCCCGUCCGACAUCGGCCUGCUCACUUCGUUGACAAAGCUCAUUCUCAGUGGCUACCGGCUGUCCGGAGCGAUGCCACCGGAGAUUGGCUCGUGCUCCCGCCUCCAGCUCCUCGACGUCGGCGGCAACUCGCUGUCCGGUCACAUUCCGGGGAGCAUCGGCAAGAUUCCGGGAUUGGAGAUCGCCCUUAACCUCAGCUGCAACAGCUUCUCCGGCUCGAUGCCAGCGGAGUUCGCAGGGCUCGUGAGGCUUGGGGUGUUCGACGUGUCACACAACCAGCUCUCCGGCGAUCUCCAGGCUUUGUCUGCGCUACAGAACCUCGUGGCGCUCAACGUCUCCUUCAACGGCUUCUCCGGCCGGCUUCCGGAGACGGCGUUCUUCGCGAAGCUUCCGACCAACGACGUCGAGGGCAACCAGGCACUGUGCCUCUCGCGGUGCUCUGGUGGUGCAGGCGACCGUGAGCUCGAGGCACGCCGCGCCGCUCGUGUCGCGAUGGCUGUCCUGCUCACCGCCCUCGUCGUCCUCCUGGUGGCCGCGGUGCUCGUCCUGUUCGGGUGGCGCCGGCGCGGCGAGCGUGCCAGCGAGGACAAGGACUCCGAGAUGUCGCCGCCGUGGGACGUGACGCUGUACCAGAAGCUGGACAUCGGCGUGGCCGAUGUGGCUCGCAGCCUCACUCCGGCGAACGUGAUCGGCCACGGGUGGUCCGGCGCGGUGUACCGUGCUAACAUCCCGUCGUCCGGCGUCACGGUCGCCGUCAAGAAAUUCCAGUCAUGCGACGAGGCGUCCGUGGAGGCGUUCGCGUGCGAGAUCAGCGUGCUGCCCCGGGUGCGACACCGCAACAUCGUCCGGUUGCUGGGAUGGGCGUCCAACCGCCGGACGCGACUCCUCUUCUACGACUACCUCCCGAACGGCACUCUCGGCGGCCUUCUGCACGGUGGCGCUGCCCUCCGUCAAGCUUCCGGUGGGACUCGCCGGCCGGCGGGGGCAGAGCGGCGGAGUGCACUUAAGGUGUUCGUGGAAAUGAGAGAGAGAGAGGAGGAAGAAGAUUGA